This 254-nucleotide ribosomal RNA is filed under the name uncultured bacterium. RNAcentral describes it as "partial 16S ribosomal RNA". It matches the Rfam family "Bacterial small subunit ribosomal RNA", at positions 524 to 776 of the family's 1533-position model. The record is from RNAcentral.
UACGGGGGGAGCAAGCGUUGUUCGGAUUUACUGGGCGUGAAGGGCGCGUAGGCGGUCGUGACAAGUCACUUGUGAAAUCUCCGGGCUUAACUCGGAACGGUCAAGUGAUACUGUCGGACUAGAGUACAGAAGGGGCAACUGGAAUUCUCGGUGUAGCGGUGAAAUGCGUAGAUAUCGAGAGGAACACCUGCGGCGAAGGCGGGUUGCUGGGCUGAUACUGACGCUGAGGCGCGAAAGCCAGGGGAGCGAACGGG